RNAcentral lists this unclassified non-coding RNA (2537 nucleotides) under uncultured fungus. RNAcentral's name for it is "sequence contains 18S rRNA gene, ITS1, 5.8S rRNA gene, ITS2, 28S rRNA gene". The stretch from base 1405 to 2537 matches the Rfam family "Eukaryotic large subunit ribosomal RNA", at positions 1 to 961 of the family's 3401-position model. Lineage: Eukaryota; Fungi. The record is from RNAcentral.
GGAGGGAUCAUUCUUACGUUCUAGCGUAUCAACCAAACGUGAACUUCUUUUCAAGCGCAAUAUAAGGUAUUGGGUAACUGAUAUGUUAUAUUGUGUGUGACUAGAAAACCUAUCCGAACCUGUAUCAUGGGUAUAACAGUUGUAAGUGAGAUCAUAGUGGAUCGACUAUUGUAAGGGUGUGACAAGAGGAAUGUGACAUGUAUGAUUUCGAUUCGUCAAACUGGAAACGGUUUGAUGAAUAGCAUGAUAUGUGAAGCAGGGUACUUGUCAUAUGUGGUCAGUGAAUAGAGUAGCAAUAUUCUAUUGAUUGAUUGUCGUAUAAUAGGAGAUGAUUUCGAAUUCAACAAGAUAUAGAAGAUGAAAAUUGACUGUGUCAUGUUAUACUCCGUAUAGGCCAAUGGCGAUCUAUUAUCAGUCUCAGCUGUUUAUCUUCGGAUGGCAGAUGGGAGUGAUAGUAGUGAGUCAUAAAUAAAUCUCCUGCUUCCACUAGGCAAAAAACCCCAAACUUAUUUCACACUAACUAUACCCCAAUUGACUAACUUAGAGAAGGGAAAGCGGGCAGCGAGUUAUUAUAGAUGAGGUUGUGUAUUCAUUUCCAUGCCUUCGGGUGGACGUUAUGGAUAGACAGUUCUGUCUAUAGUGAUAGAGACCUGUGCGUAUACAUUUCUUAUUCUCUGUUUCCAGUCGUACGACUGAAACAUUAAGAGUACAACUCUUAGCAAUGGAUAUCUAGGUUCUCGCAACGAUGAAGAACGCAGCGAAAUGCGAUAUGUAAUGCGAAUUGCAGAAUUCAGUGAAUCAUCGAAUCUUUGAACGCAAAUGGCGCUUUCGGGAUACUCCUGAAAGCACGCUUCUCUCAGUAUCAGUUUCAACCCCAUAUCAAUUCGUGAUGUGAUUAAUGAAUCUAAUUGACUUGCUUUCAUAUGACUGAGCACGGUGGCGGUGUGAUAUUCCUCACGGAGUGUCUCCUGCUGGUGAGCAGAAAUAUGAGAAUGAAUUGAUUGGUGGAGUGAUUGCCUCUCACUUAUUGGAGAAUGAGAGUCUUAUUGUGCAUACGAUGAGUCUCUUGAAAUACAAAUUUUAGUCAUGCUUUAUGUUCGUACUAGUACGUCUAUGCGUUCGCGCCGUAGACUUAGCCAUAUUAUUGGUGAACAUAUUAUUAGUUGACGUGGAUAAUCUGAUAUCGUAUGUAGAUUCGUCUAUAUAGGAUAACAGUACUGAAACGUCUUGAUUAGUGAUAUGUCUACCCAUGCAAAAUAGUAUGUGUGAAUAAGCUGGAUACGAAGCAAGAGUAGACCACCACUACGGACGAAAACGUUAAAGUCUUGUAUGUCUUCAUACGGUAUCGCACUCGUGUUCUACUUAUGUGUUGAGUAACAAACUGUUUUGUGUCUUUGAAAAAUUCGAUCUGAGAUGAAGUGAGACUACCCCCUGAAUUUAAGCAUAUUAAUAAGGGGAGGAAAAGAAACUAACUAGGAUUCCCCCAGUAACGGCGAGUGAAGCGGGAAAAGCUCAAGCUGAAAAUCAGUCAUUCAAGUGAGUGAUCUGAAUUGUAGCAUCGAGACUUGAUAUCAGCGUGUGACCUAGGUCCAAGUCCUUUGGAAUUGGGCAUCAGUGAGGGUGAGAAUCCCGUUCAUGAUCUAGAGUUCACCGCGUACGAUUCAUGUUCACAGAGUCGAGUUGUUUGGGAUUGCAGCUCGAAAUGGGUGGUAAGUUUCAUCCAAAGCUAAAUAUAGGCGAGAGACCGAUAGCGAACAAGUACCGUGAGGGAAAGAUGAAAAGAACUUUGAAAAGAGAGUGAAAAAGUACUUGAAAUUGCUAAGAGGGAAGCGCUGGGAAGCAGUACUGUGUUAUUUACAUUUUGCCUAUCUAGAGUUAUUCUCUUAUAUUAUGUAUGUGGGUAACCCAUAUGUGGUGUAGCGAGAGUGACUAUGGGUAGGUCCUGUGUGAAUGACUGGUCAGAAUCAGUUCGAAUUGUGGGAGAAAAUGUAGAGAAAGGUAGGAUAGGGGCAACUUUAUCUGUUAUAGACUUUACACUAUUACCAUGAUUUGGACUGAGGAAGUAGUGAUGCGCCACUAGGCGUGUCUGUCUGUUCCUCUUUUGCUAUUGGAUUUUAGGUCAAUGACCUGCUGUCUAAUGUGUGAGAAGAUGUGUGCGGUACAGAUUUCUGCAUCACCACGAUUCUGACAAAAUGCUUCUCAUCGACCCGUCUUGAAACACGGACCAAGGAGUCUAACAUCUAUGCAAGUAUUUGGGUGUGAAAAACCCGCAUGCGAAAUGAAAGUAAAGGUAAACUUGUUUUACUGAGGUAGGAACUCCCGUGACAAGGAGGGCACUAUUGACCGAUCCAUAUUUAUAUGAGAUUUGAGUAAGAGCAUAUCUGUUGGGACCCGAAAGAUGGUGAUCUAUGCCUGAACAGGGUGAAGCCAGGGGAAACUCUGGUGGAGGCUCGUAGCGAUACUGACGUGCAAAUCGUUCGUCUGAUUUGGGUAUAGGGGCGAAAGACUAAUCGAACUAUCUAGUAGCUGGUUCCCUC